CCUACGGGGCGCAGCAGUGAGGAAUAUUGGUCAAUGGACGAGAGUCUGAACCAGCCAAGUAGCGUGAAGGAUGACUGCCCUAUGGGUUGUAAACUUCUUUUAUAUGGGAAUAAAAUGUUCCACGUGUGGGAUUUUGUAUGUACCAUAUGAAUAAGGAUCGGCUAACUCCGUGCCAGCAGCCGCGGUAAUACGGAGGAUCCGAGUGUUAUCCGGAUUUAUUGGGUUUAAAGGGAGCGUAGGUGGAUUGUUAAGUCAGUUGUGAAAGUUUGCGGCUCAACCGUAAAAUUGCAGUUGAAACUGGCAGUCUUGAGUACAGUAGAGGUGGGCGGAAUUCGUGGUGUAGCGGUGAAAUGCUUAGAUAUCACGAAGAACUCCGAUUGCGAAGGCAGUUCACUGGACUGCAACUGACACUGAGGCUCGAAAGUGUGGGUAUCAAACAGGAUUAGAUACCCGUGUAGUC
RNAcentral lists this ribosomal RNA (460 nucleotides) under uncultured bacterium. Its description in RNAcentral is "partial 16S ribosomal RNA". It matches the Rfam family "Bacterial small subunit ribosomal RNA", at positions 338 to 795 of the family's 1533-position model. The record is from RNAcentral.